GCAGUAACCUGACUGUGAUAAUGUAGCAUAAUCACUCGCCAUUUAAUUGGUGGAUAGUAUGAAUGGUUUAACGAGUCUCACACUUUCUAAAGAAGAGGUAAUUUGAAAUUUAAAUAAUAGUUAAGAUGCUAUUUAAAAUUGUAAGACGAAAAGACCCUAUAGAGCUUGACUACAUCCCUCCUACCUAGUUAAUAGGAGGUAGGUAGUUUAGUUGGGGCGACUGCCUUUUAAAAAAAACAAAGGUAAACAAAAUUAAUAAUAAUUUACUGUAAAAUCAAUAAGUUUAACAGUUACUAAUGUAGGUUAUAAUGACCCGUUAGAAUUAAGCAAAAAUAAUAACGAUCAAUAAAUAAAAGCUACCUUAGGGAUAACAGGAUAAUUUUGUUAUAGAGACCUUAU
RNAcentral lists this ribosomal RNA (399 nucleotides) under Lepidopora glabra. Its description in RNAcentral is "partial 16S large subunit ribosomal RNA". It matches the Rfam family "Bacterial large subunit ribosomal RNA", at positions 1933 to 2505 of the family's 2925-position model. The record is from RNAcentral. Lineage: Eukaryota; Metazoa; Cnidaria; Hydrozoa; Anthoathecata; Stylasteridae.